This 483-nucleotide ribosomal RNA is filed under the name uncultured bacterium. RNAcentral describes it as "partial 16S ribosomal RNA". It matches the Rfam family "Bacterial small subunit ribosomal RNA", at positions 28 to 507 of the family's 1533-position model. The record is from RNAcentral.
GACGAACGCUGGCGGCGUGCUUAACACAUGCAAGUCGAACGCUGAAGCUCAGCUUUUGUUGGGUGGAUGAGUGGCGAACGGGUGAGUAACACGUGAGUAACCUGCCCCCUUCUUUGGGAUAACGCCCGGAAACGGGUGCUAAUACUGGAUAUUCACUGGUCUUCGCAUGGGGGUUGGUGGAAAGGGUUUUUCUGGUGGGGGAUGGGCUCGCGGCCUAUCAGCUUGUUGGUGGGGUGAUGGCCUACCAAGGCUUUGACGGGUAGCCGGCCUGAGAGGGUGACCGGUAACAUUGGGACUGAGAUACGGCCCAGACUCCGACGGGAGGCAGCAGUGGGGAAUAUUGCACAAUGGGCGCAAGCCUGAUGCAGCGACGCCGCGUGAGGGAUGGAGGCCUUCGGGUUGUGAACCUCUUUCGCUCAUGGUCAAGCCGCAACAAUGGUUGUGGUGAGGGUAGUGGGUAAAGAAGCGCCGGCUAACUACGUG